GAGGAAAAGAAAGUAAAAACGAUUCCCUGAGUAGCGGCGAGCGAAACGGGAACAGCCUAAACUCAAUUUAUAAUUGAGGGUAGUGGGACAAUUAAAAACGAUACUGUAACAAUUAGAAGAACAAGUUUGGAAUACUUGACCAUAGAGAGUGAUAGUCUCGUAUUCGAAAAUUGAAACAAUCAAAUUGAAUCCCAAGUAGCAUGGAGCACGUGAAAUUCCGUGUGAAUCUGCGAGGACCACCUCGUAAGGCUAAAUAUUCCUGAAUGACCGAUAGUGAAACAGUACCGUGAGGGAAAGGUGAAAAGAACCCCGGGAGGGGAGUGAAAAGAACAUGAAACCGUAAACUUACAAGCAGUAGAAGGACGACUAAAACGUCUGCCUGCGUGCCUGUUGAAGAAUGAGCCGGCGACUCAUAGGUAGUGGCAGGUUAAGGCAGUGAAUGCUGGAGCCACAGUGAAAGCGAGCCUGAAUAGGGCGUUCGUCACUAGUUAUGGACCCGAACCCGGGUGAUCUAACCAUGGUCAGGUUGAAGCUUAGGUAAUACUAAGUGGAGGACCGAACCGACUGAUGUUGAAAAAUCAGCGGAUGAGUUGUGGUUAGGGGUGAAAUGCCAAUCGAAUUCGGAGCUAGCUGGUUCUCCCCGAAAUGCGUUUUGGCGCAGCGGUAGAUGUUAUAGCUUAGGGGUAAAGCACUGUUACGUAUGCGGGCUGGUAAUUCGGUACCAAAUCGUUGCAAACUAAGAAUACUAAGUGUACAGUCUACCAGUAAGACUGUGGGGGAUAAGCUCCAUUGUCAAGAGGGAAACAGCCCAGAGCACCAGUUAAGGCCCUUAAAUAAUUACUAAGUGAUAAAGGAGGUGGGAGUGCAUAGACAAUCAGGAGGUUUGCUUAGAAGCAGCAAUCCUUUAAAGAGUGCGUAAUAGCUCACUGAUCGAGUAAGCCUGCGCCGAAAAUGAACGGGACUAAGUAAUUUGCCGAAGCUGUGCGAUAUAUUAAUAAAUAUAUCGGUAGGGGAGCGUUCUGUUGUAGGUCGAAGUAUUAGCGUAAGCGGAUAUGGACGAAGCAGAAGUGAGAAUGUCGGCUUGAGUAACGAAAAUAUAGGUGAGAAUCCUAUACCCCGAAAACCCAAGGUUUCCUCCGGAAGGCUCGUCCGCGGAGGGUAAGUCAGGACCUAAGGCGAGGCUGAAAAGCGUAGUCGAUGGACAACGGGUUAAUAUUCCCGUACCAUUUUUUAUUGACAACGAGGGACGGAGAAGGCUAAGCUAGCCGGAUAUUGGUUACCGGUUUAAACGUUCGAGAUGUUGAGAAGCGGCGAAAACGCUUUGAGUUGAGACGUGAAUACGAGACGCUAAGGCGUCGAAGUAGUGUAUAUCAGACUUCCAAGAAAAGCUUGCACUGUCAUAAAUAAAAAAUGCCUGUACCAUAACCGACACAGGUGGGUAGGUAGAGUAUACUAAGGGGCGCGAGAUAACUCUCUCUAAGGAACUCGGCAAAAUAACUCCGUAACUUCGGGAGAAGGAGUGCCUUAUUUAUAAGGUUGCAAUAACAAGAUCCAAGCAACUGUUUAUCAAAAACACAGGUCUCCGCUAAGUCGUAAGACGAUGUAUGGGGGCUGACGCCUGCCCAGUGCCAGAAGGUUAAAGAAGUUGGUUAGCUUUUGCGAAGCUGAUGACUGAAGCCCUGGUGAACGGCGGCCGUAACUAUAACGGUCCUAAGGUAGCGAAAUUCCUUGUCGGGUAAGUUCCGACC
RNAcentral lists this ribosomal RNA (1748 nucleotides) under marine metagenome. RNAcentral's name for it is "bacterial LSU rRNA". It matches the Rfam family "Bacterial large subunit ribosomal RNA", at positions 213 to 1988 of the family's 2925-position model. The record is from RNAcentral.